GACGAACGCUGGCGGCGUGCUUAACACAUGCAAGUCGAACGGAAAGGCCCUGCUUUUGUUGGGUGCUCGAGUGGCGAACGGGUGAGUAACACGUGAGUAACCUGCCCUUGACUUUGGGAUAACUUCAGGAAACUGGGGCUAAUACCGGAUAGGAGCUCCUGCUGCAUGGUGGGGGUUGGAAAGUUUCGGCGGUUGGGGAUGGACUCGCGGCUUAUCAGCUUGUUGGUGGGGUAGUGGCUUACCAAGGCUUUGACGGGUAGCCGGCCUGAGAGGGUGACCGGCCACAUUGGGACUGAGAUAGGGCCCAGAAUCCUACGGGAGGCAGCAGGGGGGAAUAUUGCACAAUGGGCGGAAGCCUGAUGCAGCAACGCCGCGUGCGGGAUGCCGGCCUUCGGGGUGUAAACCGCUUUCGCCUGUGACGAAGCGUGAGUGACGGUAAUGGGUAAAGAAGCACCGGCUAACUACGUG
Molecule: ribosomal RNA, 468 nt
Filed under: uncultured bacterium
Lineage: Bacteria
Description: partial 16S ribosomal RNA
Rfam family: Bacterial small subunit ribosomal RNA
Source: RNAcentral